UGGGGAAUUUUGGACAAUGGGCGCAAGCCUGAUCCAGCCAUGCCGCGUGCGGGAAGAAGGCCUUCGGGUUGUAAACCGCUUUUGUCAGGGAAGAAAUCUUCUGAGUUAAUACCUCGGGAGGAUGACGGUACCUGAAGAAUAAGCACCGGCUAACUACGUGCCAGCAGCCGCGGUAAUACGUAGGGUGCAAGCGUUAAUCGGAAUUACUGGGCGUAAAGCGUGCGCAGGCGGUUUUGUAAGACAGAGGUGAAAUCCCCGGGCUCAACCUGGGAACUGCCUUUGCGACUGCAAGGCUUGAGUGCGGCAGAGGGGGAUGGAAUUCCGCGUGUAGCAGUGAAAUGCGUAGAUAUGCGGAGGAACACCGAUGGCGAAGGCAAUCCCCUGGGCCUGCACUGACGCUCAUGCACGAAAGCGUGGGGAGCAAACAGGAUUAGAUACCCUGGUAGUCCACGCCCUAAACGAUGUCAACUGGUUGUUGGGAAGGUUCCUUCUCAGUAACGUAGCUAACGCGUGAAGUUGACCGCCUGGGGAGUACGGCCGCAAGGUUGAAACUUAAAUGAAUUGACGGGGUCAUAGCUG
This 579-nucleotide ribosomal RNA is filed under the name uncultured bacterium. RNAcentral describes it as "partial 16S ribosomal RNA". It matches the Rfam family "Bacterial small subunit ribosomal RNA", at positions 355 to 932 of the family's 1533-position model. The record is from RNAcentral.